RNAcentral lists this ribosomal RNA (406 nucleotides) under uncultured bacterium. RNAcentral's name for it is "partial 16S ribosomal RNA". It matches the Rfam family "Bacterial small subunit ribosomal RNA", at positions 28 to 526 of the family's 1533-position model. The record is from RNAcentral.
GAUGAACGCUGACAGCAUGCUUAACACAUCAGCCAUUGAUUGGUGGCGGACGGGUGAGUAACGCGUAAAGAACUUACCUCACAGCUAGGGACAACAUUUGGAAACGAAUGCUAAUACCUAAUCCUGUGAGAGAGCUUUGCGUCCCAUUAGCUAGUUGGAGAGGUAACGGCUCACCACGGCGAGGAUGGGUAUCCGGCCUGAGAGGGUGAUCGGCCACAAGGGGACGGGGAAACUGCCAGUACGCAUACGGGAGGAAGCAGUGGGGAAGAUGGGAAAAUGGACCAAAGUCUGAUGCAGCAAUUCGGGGUGUAAGAUGAAGCUUUCGGAAUGAAGAGUGCUUUCAGGUUGGAAGCGGUACCAACAGAAGAAGUGACGGCUAAAUACGUGCCAGCAGCCGCGGUAAUAC